CAUGUUUGUUUGGGCUGUGAGGUUGUGUUCAUGUUUGUGGGCUGUGAGAUUGUGUUCAUGUUUGUUUGGGCUGUGAGGUUGUGUGUUCAUGUUUGUGGGCUGUGAGAUUGUGUUCAUGUUUGUUUGGGCUGUGAGGUUGUGUGUUCAUGUUUGUUUGGGCUGUGAGGUUGUGUGUUCAUGUUUGUUUGGGCUGUGAGGUUGUGUUCAUGUUUGUUUGGGCUCUGAGGUUGUGUGUUCAUGUUUGUUUGGGCUGUGAGGUUGUGUGUUCAUGUUUGUUUGGGCUGUGAGGUUGUGUGUUCAUGUUUGUUUGGGCUGUGAGAUUGUGUGUUCAUGUUUGUUUGGACUGUGAGGUUGUGUGUUCAUGUUUGUUUGGGCUGUGAGAUUGUGUGUUCAUGUUUGUUUGGACUGUGAGGUUGUGUGUUCAUGUUUGUUUGGGCUGUGAGGUUGUGUGUUCAUGUUUGUUUGGGCUGUGAGGUUGUGUGUUCAUGUUUGUUUGGGCUGUGAGGUUGUGUGUUCAUGUUUGUUUGGGCUGUGAGGUUGUGUGUUCAUGUUUGUUUGGGCUGUGAGAUUGUGUGUUCAUGUUUGUUUGGGCUGUGAGAUUGUGUGUUCAUGUUUGUUUGGACUGUGAGGUUGUGUGUUCAUGUUUGUUUGGACUGUGAGGUUGUGUGUUCAUGUUUGUUUGGACUGUGAGGUUGUGUGUUCAUGUUUGUUUGGACUGUGAGGUUGUGUGUUCAUGUUUGUUUGGACUGUGAGGUUGUGUGUUCAUGUUUGUUUGGACUGUGAGGUUGUGUGUUCAUGUUUGUUUGGGCUGUGAGGUUGUGUGUUCAUGUUUGUUUGGACUGUGAGGUUGUGUGUUCAUGUUUGUUUGGACUGUGAGGUUGUGUGUUCAUGUUUGUUUGGGCUGUGAGGUUGUGUGUUCAUGUUUGUUUGGACUGUGAGGUUGUGUGUUCAUGUUUGUUUGGACUGUGAGGUUGUGUGUUCAUGUUUGUUUGGGCUGUGAGGUUGUGUGUUCAUGUUUGUUUGGGCUGUGAGGUUGUGUGUUCAUGUUUGUUUGGGCUGUGAGGUUGUGUGUUCAUGUUUGUUUGGGCUCUGAGGUUGUGUGUUCAUGUUUGUUUGGGCUGUGAGGUUGUGUGUUCAUGUUUGUUUGGGCUGUGAGGUUGUGUGUUCAUGUUUGUUUGGGCUGUGAGGUUGUGUGUUCAUGUUU
This is a long non-coding RNA of Eriocheir sinensis (Chinese mitten crab), 1204 nucleotides long. RefSeq lists it as uncharacterized. The transcript is spliced from 3 exons. NCBI's taxonomy places the organism in Eukaryota, Metazoa, Arthropoda, Malacostraca, Decapoda, Varunidae. The record is from RefSeq and is a predicted model, not a curated record.